GUUAACUUUACUUGAUGAUCAGAGGUGGGAUCCAGAGAAAACCUGAGGCUGGUGAGCAAACAGAAAAUCCCCAAAGAGGAAAAUGCCAUCCCUGUGAUUUGGAGAAAAGGAACUUGGUCAGAUACUAAGAACAGGACCUGGUCUAGCAGCAGAGCCCGGCGCUCACCCUGGGUCAUGCGUCAGUCCUGUGGGAGCCAGCAUUGGACAGCACCUUCCCGAUGAAAUCUGAGGCACGCUGGCAGCUGCCUGGCAGGAAAGGCGCCGGAGACCGCACCUCCCAGAAGGUGGCGGUUUCAAAGUGAGUGCUGUGUUUCCAUGGACUCCUCAAGGAAAA
This is a non-coding RNA of Leptonychotes weddellii (Weddell seal), 334 nucleotides long. Lineage: Eukaryota; Metazoa; Chordata; Mammalia; Carnivora; Phocidae. The record is from RefSeq and is a predicted model, not a curated record.